GAGCUCCAAAGGUUUCACCGAUCCAGAAAUUGUUUUAUUUGAACGUGCAAAAAAACAGCCUCUAGGGGGCAGCUGGGUAGCUCAGUGGAUUGACAGCCGGGCCUAGAGACAGGAAGUCCUGGGUUCAAAUUUGACCUCAGACACUUCCCAGCUGUGUGACCCUGGGCAAGUCUCUUAACCUCUAUUGCCACGCCCUUACCACUCUUCUGCCUUGGAAGAUGGAAGGUAAGGGUUAAAAAAAAAACAAUAACAAAAAACCAACCUCAAUUCUCUACCCCACCAUCUCCCCAACUCCAGCUCAAUGGGUUGCAGGAAAGGAUUUCAGACGAAGGUCCCUGAAUGGACAGAUCCCCAGAGACUCAGGCACCAGCGAUGGAAUAUCUCCCAAAGGAGGUGCCCCCUAAGAUCCCCGGCAGCCGAACCCUAGCAAAGAGAAACGAGAAUGGAUGAAAGAUGGUGGGAAGGACAUCUGGCAUUAGAUAUCCACUGUACACUCAGAGAAAAGGAGCUGAAGCUGCCCGUUUACAAAGCCCAAUCCCCACUCCUUGAGAGCCGAAGGUAUUUUGUCGACUUAGUUUCUGUGCUCAGCAACCACUGCAAGAUCUGCCCCACGGCCAGACACCUGGCUGUCUACCUGCUGGACCUCUUCAUGGAUCGAUACAGUGUGACUGCAAAACAGCUGCAUAUCGUAGCCAUCGCCUGUCUUUUGCUAGCAAGCAAAUUUGAAGAGAAGGAGGACCGAGUGCCAAAACUGGAACAGAUGAACAGCUUGGGCCUCCUAUGCAGCCACCAACUGGUACUAAGUAAGAAGGAACUUCUGCAAACGGAGCUGCUCCUCCUGGAGGCUUUCGGCUGGAACCUAUGCAUGCCGACCCCAGCCCACUAUGUGGAUUACUACCUCUUAUUCUCACUCAGUGAGAAGGACCUCUGCAACAACCGGCCUAUCUUCUCUUUCUCAAAAACCAAAGGUUUCCUAGAGAAAUAUGUCCACUACUUUCUGGAAGUUUCAUUGCAAGAUCAUAUUUUUCACAACUUCCCACCAUCCAUGGUAGCUGCAGCUUGCAUUUGGGCCUCUAGGAUUUGCCUGCAGCUCUCCCCCACUUGGACCAGAGACUUGGAGAAAAUAUCACACUAUUCCAUGGAGCAGAUCAGUGCUUGCGUUAAAGUCAUGCUGUUGGCUUUUGACAAUGACUUCAAGGAUGCUAACAAAGUGAAGAACCCGCCACUGGCCUUGCAAUCCCACAUGUUGGUUCCAGGCACACAUCAGGCUCCUACCCAGGUGCUGUUCCAACAGCCGGCCUUCCACCAUCCAGUCCCCCAGCCAGCAGCCACGCUAUCCCACAUCCAGACCCCUGUGCAAGACUUGUGCUCGGCCUAUCGUGACACCCUGCAGCCCCACCAGUCUGGGGGCUUGCUGUCAGGAAGCACCGGUCCCUCUCUGUACCACCCUUAUUCUGCUCUCCAGCCUUCAGCAGUCCAGGCUAUUACCAUCCCAGGACCCCUCCCCAGGCAGAUAGGAGUAGAACCAAGACACUGCAUCUCUAUGGCUUACGGGAGUAGCUACUUCAGUGGACAUCACUCGUUCCCAGCUGGAUGUUUGACAGAUAAAGUAAAGCCAUCCUAA
RNAcentral lists this long non-coding RNA (1624 nucleotides) under Monodelphis domestica (gray short-tailed opossum). Its description in RNAcentral is "lncRNA (ENSMODG00000040484.1)". Lineage: Eukaryota; Metazoa; Chordata; Mammalia; Didelphimorphia; Didelphidae. The record is from RNAcentral.